UCCUCAAUGGUCUAGUGGCUAUGAUUUCCGCUUGUCACGCCCAUGAAGGGUUCGAUUCCCUGUUGGGGAG
This 70-nucleotide transfer RNA is filed under the name Cladosporium sphaerospermum UM 843. Its description in RNAcentral is "tRNA-Asp (GTC) (tRNA-Asp-GTC-2-1)". It matches the Rfam family "tRNA". Rfam says of the family: Transfer RNA (tRNA) molecules are approximately 80 nucleotides in length. Their secondary structure includes four short double-helical elements and three loops (D, anti-codon, and T loops). Further hydrogen bonds mediate the characteristic L-shaped molecular structure. tRNAs have two regions of fundamental functional importance: the anti-codon, which is responsible for specific mRNA codon recognition, and the 3' end, to which the tRNAs corresponding amino acid is attached (by aminoacyl-tRNA synthetases). tRNAs cope with the degeneracy of the genetic code in two manners: having more than one tRNA (with a specific anti-codon) for a particular amino acid; and 'wobble' base-pairing, i.e. permitting non-standard base-pairing at the 3rd anti-codon position. The record is from RNAcentral. Lineage: Eukaryota; Fungi; Ascomycota; Dothideomycetes; Cladosporiales; Cladosporiaceae.